CAUACCUAACAGGUCAGUCCUGACUCCAACCCAGACUCUCCUCUCCAUACCUAACAGGAGUGUGACCAAGGGCCUGUGUUCGUACUGCUGUAAACCGAUGGUGGCUGGAGCCAACAUGAUCCUGGAGGAUCUACAGAUCUACAGCCACUCAUCCUGCUUCAAGUGUGAGGUGUGCCAUUGUCCUCUAGGAGACCUCCAUGUAGGAGACAGUAUGUGGCUCCUCAGAGGGACAGUGCACUGUGAAGGCUGCUUCAGCACAGCCAGAGAGAAGUAUCUCCUCUAGGGAAGGAUGACAGAACGCUCACGUCUCCACGGUAACACAGCCAGAACACAGAGACACCGCUUCAGAAGUCGGAAAAGGACACAUUGCUUUUACAUGGGUGGAUCUGGCGGUUGACGCAGCAGUAAAUUACAUUUUAUAAUGUAAUCUGGAUCUAUAAUCUUCACAACAUCUCUUGCAAAUGAUUGUCACAUAUAGAAUCAGAUCCAAUGACCUGGAUGGAUUGUUUAUGUACUUCUCUAUGUAUCUAUUUUCAUGUAAUAUGACGAUUUGUUCAAUCACAUUACAAUAUAACCACCAACUGAUGUCAGCAUGUAGUCAUGUUUAUUAAAAUGGACAUCUUCA
Oncorhynchus nerka (sockeye salmon) is the source of this 625-nucleotide long non-coding RNA. RefSeq lists it as uncharacterized. Lineage: Eukaryota; Metazoa; Chordata; Actinopteri; Salmoniformes; Salmonidae. The record is from RefSeq and is a predicted model, not a curated record. The transcript is spliced from 4 exons.